AGUGCGUUCAGUAAGUAUAACGUUUCAAGAUGGCGGAGCGAAUUGCAUGGUUAUUGUUUCUACUCGAUGGAUUCGCAGAUAAUUCGGAAAUAGAUCAGAUUGGGAUCAAUAACUGUAUUGCAUACGAUCAUUUACAUGUAUUACCAGGUGUGUGUUGCCAGUAAUGGUUGAAGAUAUGCCAAACAAAUUGUGCCUCUCUAUACAGACAGAUUUCAGGUCUCAAUUUCGACUUCAAAGGUCAACAUAUCACUGAUAUCAGGAAUUCUGUACAACUGUGGAACCAUGUAUGGUACGUGACCGCACAAUGUUGGUUGGCAAAAGGAUAUUGGAAUAAGCAAAGGGACUCAACAUUACACAGUCAUUUCAACAUGUAGAGUCUUGUCAGCAAUGAUGGAGCAGUACAUCAGAUUUCCAGAAUCUCGUCAUGAGCUGAAGAUCAUUGCCUAUGGAUUUCAUGAAUGAUGUAGAAUGAUUGGACUGUUGAUGGAACCCACAGUGCAUGUCCUGCUUCAACAUCUGAGCAUAGGUCCUUGUUUAUCAGCAGUUUAGUUCUUCAAGCAGUCUGUGACAGUAACUUGAAAUGUUUGGACAUAUGACCUGGAUGGCCAAGUUCUGUGCAUGAUGCCCAUUUAAAUAGGAACGGCCCAGUGGCGCAUUAAAUGGACAUUUUUCGAAUGUUCUCGAGGAUUCAGCUUACCGCCUGACAAGAAAUCUUGCUUUUUGUUCCGUAUCGAGGCCAUAGACAUUUGUAUCAUUUGCAAAAGAUACUGCGAUAUUUGUGCCUUUGUUCAUGCUUUAUAGUUGAUUAACAAUUGGAAGCCAUAACCUGUUUUAUAGGAUGGUGUUAGUGGGACAAUGAAUUUUGUAAAGAUUUAAAGACUGGAAAAGAUAAUUAAAAGUCAAAAGAGUUCUGCUAUUGUUAAGCAUGCUUUAUUGAUUUGUAAUGUUAGAAAGAUAGCAUUAUUAACAGAAUAAAAUGUCCAUAAUUUGAA
Long non-coding RNA from Dreissena polymorpha, 992 nucleotides. RefSeq lists it as uncharacterized. The record is from RefSeq and is a predicted model, not a curated record. Lineage: Eukaryota; Metazoa; Mollusca; Bivalvia; Myida; Dreissenidae. The transcript is spliced from 4 exons.